UACGUAGGGUCCAAGCGUUGUCCGGAUUUAUUGGGCGUAAAGAGCUCGUAGGCGGUUCGGUAAGUCGGAUGUGAAAGCCCGGGGCUUAACCCCGGGUCUGCAUUCGAUACGGGCAGGCUAGAGUGUGGUAGGGGAGAUCGGAAUUCCUGGUGUAGCGGUGAAGUGCGCAGAUAUCAGGAGGAACACCGGUGGCGAAGGCGGAUCUCUGGGCCAUUACUGACGCUGAGGAGCGAAAGCGUGGGGAGCGAACAGG
RNAcentral lists this ribosomal RNA (253 nucleotides) under uncultured bacterium. RNAcentral describes it as "partial 16S ribosomal RNA". It matches the Rfam family "Bacterial small subunit ribosomal RNA", at positions 524 to 776 of the family's 1533-position model. The record is from RNAcentral.